GGCGAGGUGGCCAAACCCGGUUAAGGCGGGGGACCGCAGGUCCCCGAUUGCUGGUUCAAAUCCAGCCCUCGCCUCCA
Molecule: transfer RNA, 77 nt
Filed under: Halarsenatibacter silvermanii
Lineage: Bacteria; Bacillati; Bacillota; Clostridia; Halanaerobiales; Halarsenatibacteraceae
Description: tRNA_Cys_GCA
Rfam family: tRNA
About the family: Transfer RNA (tRNA) molecules are approximately 80 nucleotides in length.
Source: RNAcentral